GAUGAAGAACGUAGCGAAAUGCGAUAAGUAAUGUGAAUUGCAGAAUUCAGUGAAUCAUCGAAUCUUUGAACGCACAUUGCGCCCCCUGGUAUUCCGGGGGGCAGGCCUGUUCGAGCGUCAUUUCACCACUCAAGCCUCGCUUGGUAUUGGGCAACGCGGUCCGCCGCGUGCCUCAAAUCGACCGGCUGGGUCUUCUGUCCCCUAAGCGUUGUGGAAACUAUUCGCUAAAGGGUGUUCGGGAGGCUACGCCGUAAAACAACCCCAUUUCUAAGGUUGACCUCGGAUCAGGUAGGGAUACCCGCUGAACUUAAGCAUAUCAAUAAGCGGAGGA
RNAcentral lists this unclassified non-coding RNA (331 nucleotides) under soil metagenome. RNAcentral describes it as "partial contains 5.8S ribosomal RNA, internal transcribed spacer 2, and large subunit ribosomal RNA". The stretch from base 1 to 120 matches the Rfam family "5.8S ribosomal RNA", at positions 35 to 154 of the family's 154-position model. The record is from RNAcentral.